AUAAAGCUAAGGAUCUGCAUGAAAAUCAUAAGCACCACACUCCACACACUGAAAAAAAAAAGUUGCAUGUCUUUGCAAGAUAACAAAGCAUGGAUCAAAUUUUCUGGAAAGAUGGGAUGGUCCUAAAAAGCAAAUAUAUGUGCUCCUUCCCUUUCAGUGGGAACCGCCGAACCCUAUCACGUAUGCAUGGAGGUGGCAUGGCCAAUGACCAAUGGGAUUGCAGAAUGCUUAUGGGGACCUAAUCUGCAGAUUGAUCGAAGUGACCAUGAGCAUUAGGUGUGGCCUGGAAUUCUUGUGUCGGUCAGGUCGUGAGGUUGUAAUGACUUGUGCUGCUGUGCAUGAUAAUGUUGAUCAACUUUAGUUGCCUGUCAAGCCUAAAUGAGGUAUCUUUUCGAAGGAAUAGACUCAAAAGUUCCUCA
Malus domestica (apple) is the source of this 419-nucleotide non-coding RNA. NCBI's taxonomy places the organism in Eukaryota, Viridiplantae, Streptophyta, Magnoliopsida, Rosales, Rosaceae. The record is from RefSeq and is a predicted model, not a curated record.